CAAUGAUUGGUUUGGUAGUGAGAAUCCUCAGAACUUAGCUUGUUUAUUUACCUCAGAACUUGAAGUUCUCUUUCAAGUAACAAACCAUCUCUUUCAAUAGUUAAGCUGAAGUAG
Long non-coding RNA from Ipomoea nil (Japanese morning glory), 114 nucleotides. RefSeq lists it as uncharacterized. The transcript is spliced from 3 exons. The record is from RefSeq and is a predicted model, not a curated record. Lineage: Eukaryota; Viridiplantae; Streptophyta; Magnoliopsida; Solanales; Convolvulaceae.